GUUUCCUUUCAAUCUGUCCUGUUUUUUUGUCAUCCAAAAAUCAUUUUUCGCUGGUCUCGCGUUUUAAUACUCUUGCUUAAUUUUCCGAGCAUUUCUUCUUGUAGUGGUUUUGCUUAUGAAAUCUUCAAUUUUGCUUUCAUAGUUUGUUGAUAUAUGCACGAGCGCACGUUGCUGAUUUCUGAAUGAAUAUUCAUCUAAAAUAAAUUCGACUAGUACCUGCUUUUGAAAAAAAAUAAUAAUUAUAACGGAAUA
Anastrepha obliqua is the source of this 252-nucleotide long non-coding RNA. RefSeq lists it as uncharacterized. The record is from RefSeq and is a predicted model, not a curated record. NCBI's taxonomy places the organism in Eukaryota, Metazoa, Arthropoda, Insecta, Diptera, Tephritidae. The transcript has 2 exons.